AUUGAACGCUGGCGGCAGGCCUAACACAUGCGAGUCGAGCGGAUGAAGGGAGCUUGCUCCUGGAUUCAGCGGCGGACGGGUGAGUAAUGCCUAGGAAUCUGCCUGGUAGUGGGGGAUAACGUCCGGAAACGGGCGCUAAUACCGCAUAUGUCCUGAGGGAGAAAGUGGGGGAUCUUCGGACCUCACGCUAUCAGAUGAGCCUAGGUCGGAGUGGCUAGUUGGUGGGGUAAAGGCCUACCAAGGCGACGAUCCGUAACUGGUCUGAGAGGAUGAUCAGUCACACUGGAAGUGAGACGCGGUCCAGACGCCUGCGGGAGGGAGCGGUGGGGAAUAUUGGAGAAUGGGCGAAAGCCUGAUCCAGCCAUGCCGCGUGUGUGAAGAAGGUCUUCGGAUUGUAAAGCACUUUAAGUUGGGAGGAAGGGCAGUAAGUUAAUACCUUGCUGUUUUGACGUUACCAACAGAAUAAGCACCGGCUAACUUCGUG
RNAcentral lists this ribosomal RNA (484 nucleotides) under uncultured bacterium. RNAcentral's name for it is "partial 16S ribosomal RNA". It matches the Rfam family "Bacterial small subunit ribosomal RNA", at positions 30 to 507 of the family's 1533-position model. The record is from RNAcentral.